Molecule: ribosomal RNA, 380 nt
Filed under: uncultured eukaryote
Lineage: Eukaryota
Description: partial 18S ribosomal RNA
Rfam family: Eukaryotic small subunit ribosomal RNA
Source: RNAcentral
CAAUAGCGUAUAUUAAAGUUGUUGCAGUUAGAACGCUCGUAGUCGGAUUUCGGGGCGUUCCGACCGGUCUGCCGAUGGGUAUGCACUGGCCGGAGUGUCCUUUUUGCCGGAGACCGUGCCUACUCUUAACUGAGCGGGGGCGGGAGACGGCACUUUUACUUUGAAAAAAUCAGAGUGUUUCAAGCAGACAGCUCGCUCUUGCAUGGAUUAGCAUGGGAUAAUGAAAUAGGACUUUGGUGCUAUUUUGUUGGUUUCGAACACCGAAGUAAUGAUGAGAAGGGACAGUCAGGGGCACUCGUAUUCCGCAGAGAGAGGUGAAAUUCUCAGACCCGCGGAAGACGAACCACUGCGAAAGCAUUUGCCAGGGAUGUUUUCACUGA